This 25-nucleotide non-coding RNA is filed under the name Mus musculus (house mouse). Lineage: Eukaryota; Metazoa; Chordata; Mammalia; Rodentia; Muridae. The record is from RNAcentral.
UAACGUUCUGAGGAAAUAGGUGUAU